GACGAACGCUGGCGGCGUGCUUAACACAUGCAAGUCGAACGAUGAAGCUGGAGCUUGCUCCGGUGGAUUAGUGGCGAACGGGUGAGUAACACGUGAGCAAUCUGCCCUUGACUCUGGGAUAACUGCGGGAAACUGUAGCUAAUACCGGAUACGAGACCUGAAGGCAUCUUCGGGUCUGGAAAGAAUUUCGGUCAAGGAUGAGCUCGCGGCCUAUCAGCUUGUUGGUGAGGUAAUGGCUCACCAAGGCGACGACGGGUAGCCGGCCUGAGAGGGUGACCGGCCACACUGGGACUGAGACACGGCCCAGACUCCUACGGUAGGCAGCAGUGAGGAAUAUUGCACAAUGGGCGAAAGCCUGAUGCAGCAACGCCGCGUGAGGGAUGAAGGCCUUCGGGUUGUAAACCUCUUUUAGCAGGGAAGAAGCGAAAGUGACGGUACCUGCAGAAAAAGCACCGGCUAACUACGUGCCAGCCGCCGCUGUAA
Molecule: ribosomal RNA, 483 nt
Filed under: uncultured bacterium
Lineage: Bacteria
Description: partial 16S ribosomal RNA
Rfam family: Bacterial small subunit ribosomal RNA
Source: RNAcentral